AGCGAACAUUGGCGGUAGGCUUAACACAUGCAAGUCGAACGGUAACAGGCCGCAAGGUGCUGACGAGUGGCGAACGGGUGAGUAAUGCAUCGGAACGUGCCCAGUCGUGGGGGAUAACGUAGCGAAAGCUGUGCUAAUACAGCAUACGAUCUACGGAUGAAAGCGGGGGACCGUAAGGCCACGCGCGAUUGGACAGGUCUAUGUCAGAUUAGGUAGUUGGUGGGGUAAAGGCCCACCAAGCCAACGAUCUAUAGAUGGUCUGAGAGUACGACCAGCCACACUGAGACUGAGACACGGCCCAGACUCCUACGGGAGGCAGGAGUGGGGAAUUUUGGACAAUGGGCGCAAGCCUGAUCCAGCAAUGCCGCGUGCAGGAAGAAGGCCUUCGGGUUGUAAUCUGCUUUUGUACGGAACGAAAAGGUCUGGGUUAAUACCCUGGGCCGAUGACGGUACCGUAAGAAUAAGCACCGGCUAACUACGUGCCAGCCGCCGCGGUAA
RNAcentral lists this ribosomal RNA (498 nucleotides) under uncultured bacterium. RNAcentral's name for it is "partial 16S ribosomal RNA". It matches the Rfam family "Bacterial small subunit ribosomal RNA", at positions 29 to 523 of the family's 1533-position model. The record is from RNAcentral.